UCAAUCCUAGAAGCACUGAUGAAUAAGGGGUGGGCAAGUUCUGGUUUCAGCCGCCGCGGUAAAACCAGCACCUCAAGUGGUCAGGAUGAUUAUUGGGCCUAAAGCAUCCGUAGCCGGCUCUGUAAGUUUUCGGUUAAAUCUGUACGCUCAACGUACAGGCUGCCGGGAAUACUGCAGAGCUAGGGAGUGGGAGAGGUAGACGGUACUCGGUAGGAAGGGGUAAAAUCCUUUGAUCUAUUGAUGACCACCUGUGGCGAAGGCGGUCUACCAGAACACGUCCGACGGUGAGGGAUGAAAGCUGGGGGAGCAAACCGGAUUAGAUACCCGGGUAGUCCCAGCUGUAAACUAUGCAAACUCAGUGAUGCAUUGGCUUGUGGCCAAUGCAGUGCUGCAGGGAAGCCGUUAAGUUUGCCGCCUGGGAAGUACGUACGCAAGUAUGAAACUUAAAGGAAUUGGCGGGGGAGCACCACAAGGGGUGAAGCCUGCGGUUCAAUUGGAGUCAACGCCGGGAAUC
This 514-nucleotide ribosomal RNA is filed under the name uncultured Nitrososphaerota archaeon. RNAcentral's name for it is "bacterial SSU rRNA". It matches the Rfam family "Archaeal small subunit ribosomal RNA", at positions 413 to 926 of the family's 1478-position model. The record is from RNAcentral. Lineage: Archaea; Thermoproteati; Nitrososphaerota.